This 73-nucleotide non-coding RNA is filed under the name unclassified sequences. Its description in RNAcentral is "RAGATH-18 RNA". It matches the Rfam family "RAGATH-18 RNA". From Rfam's summary of the family: Actinobacteria, Firmicutes, Fusobacteria, Thermotogae (1 example). Nearby to self-cleaving ribozyme genes The record is from Rfam by way of RNAcentral.
GCUAUGGAGUAUGAUACCAGACGCUAGUAGCUUGCGAGUAAUCGCGGUGAGGGCGCAUACGAUGAAAUAGCAA